CAGGCUUAACACAUGCAAGUCGAGGGGCAUCAGGAAGAAAGCUUGCUUUCUUUGCUGGCGACCGGCGCACGGGUGAGUAACACGUAUCCAACCUGCCCUUUACUUGGGGAUAGCCUUUCGAAAGAAAGAUUAAUACCCGAUGGCAUAAUGAUUCCGCAUGGUUUCAUUAUUAAAGGAUUCCGGUAAAGGAUGGGGAUGCGUUCCAUUAGGUUGUUGGUGAGGUAACGGCUCACCAAGCCUUCGAUGGAUAGGGGUUCUGAGAGGAAGGUCCCCCACAUUGGAACUGAGACACGGUCCAAACUCCUACGGGAGGCAGCAGUGAGGAAUAUUGGUCAAUGGGCGCUAGCCUGAACCAGCCAAGUAGCGUGAAGGAUGAAGGCUCUAUGGGUCGUAAACUUCUUUUAUAUAAGAAUAAAGUGCAGUAUGUAUACUGUUUUGUAUGUAUUAUAUGAAUAAGGAUCGGCUAACUCCGUGCCAGCAGCCGCGGUAAUACGGAGGAUCCGAGCGUUAUCCGGAUUUAUUGGGUUUAAAGGGAGCGUAGGUGGACUGGUAAGUCAGUUGUGAAAGUUUGCGGCUCAACCGUAAAAUUGCAGUUGAUACUGUCAGUCUUGAGUACAGUAGAGGUGGGCGGAAUUCGUGGUGUAGCGGUGAAAUGCUUAGAUAUCACGAAGAACUCCGAUUGCGAAGGCAGCUCACUGGACUGCAACUGACACUGAUGCUCGAAAGUGUGGGUAUCAAACAGGAUUAGAUACCCUGGUAGUCCACACAGUAAACGAUGAAUACUCGCUGUUUGCGAUAUACAGUAAGCGGCCAAGCGAAAGCAUUAAGUAUUCCACCUGGGGAGUACGCCGGCAACGGUGAAACUCAAAGGAAUUGACGGGGGCCCGCACAAGCGGAGGAACAUGUGGUUUAAUUCGAUGAUACGCGAGGAGCCUUACCCGGGCUUAAAUUGCAGUGGAAUGAUGUGGAAACAUGUCAGUGAGCAAUCACCGCUGUGAAGGUGCCGCAUGGUUGUCGUCAGCUCGUGCCGUGAGGUGUCGGCUUAAGUGCCAUAACGAGCGCAACCCUUAUCUUUAGUUACUAACAGGUUAUGCUGAGGACUCUAGAGAGACUGCCGUCGUAAGAUGUGAGGAAGGUGGGGAUGACGUCAAAUCAGCACGGCCCUUACGUCCGGGGCUACACACGUGUUACAAUGGGGGGUACAGAAGGCAGCUAGCGGGUGACCGUAUGCUAAUCCCAAAAGCCUCUCUCAGUUCGGAUCGAAGUCUGCAACCCGACUUCGUGAAGCUGGAUUCGCUAGUAAUCGCGCAUCAGCCACGGCGCGGUGAAUACGUUCCCGGGCCUUGUACACACCGCCCGUCAAGCCAUGGGAGCCGGGGGUACCUGAAGUACGUAACCGCAAGGAUCGUCCUAGGGUAAAACUGGUGACUG
This 1431-nucleotide ribosomal RNA is filed under the name uncultured organism. RNAcentral's name for it is "16S ribosomal RNA". It matches the Rfam family "Bacterial small subunit ribosomal RNA". The record is from RNAcentral.